GAGUUUGAUCCUGGCUCAGGACGAACGCUGGCGGCGGGCCUAACACAUGCAAGUCGCGGGAGAAGCCGGCUCUUCGGAGCCGGUGGAGACCGGCGGAUGGGUGAGUAACGCGUAGGCAACCUGCCUGGAGGGCGGGGAUAACAUCUCGAAAGGGGUGCUAAUACCCGAUGAUGCAGCGGCCCCGCAUGGGGACAGUUGUUAAAGGUUUCGGCCGCCUCCAGAUGGGCCUGCGUGCCAUUAGCUGGUUGGUGAGGUAGAAGCUCACCAAGGCGAUGAUGGCUAGGGGGUCUGAGAGGAUGAUCCCCCACACUGGGACUGAGACACGGCCCAGACUCCUACGGGAGGCAGCAGUGAGGAAUCUUGCGCAAUGGGGGCAACCCUGACGCAGCCACGCCGCGUGCUGGAAGACGGCCCUAUGGGUUGUAAACAGCUUUUGGUCGGGAAGAACCCGGGGGUUUCGAUCCCCGCUGACGGUACCGGCCGAAUAAGCACCGGCUAACUCCGUGCCAGCAGCCGCGGUAAUACGGAGGGUGCAAGCGUUGUCCGGAAUCAUUGGGUGUAAAGGGUGCGCAGGCGGGCUGCCGCGUCGGGGGUGAAAUCUUGCCGCUUAACGGUAAAAUGGCCUUCGAUACGGGCAGUCUUGAGUCCAGAAGAGGCCGGUGGAAUUCGUGGUGUAGCGGUGAAAUGCAUAGAUAUCACGAAGAACACCAGUGGCGAAGGCGGCCCGGCUGGUCUGGUACUGACGCUGAGGCACGAGAGCGUGGGGAGCGAACAGGAUUAGAUACCCUGGUAGUCCACGCCGUAAACGAUGAGUGCUAAGUGUUAGAGGGUUUCCGCCCUUUAGUGCUGCAGCUAACGCAUUAAGCACUCCGCCUGGGGAGUACGGCCGCAAGGCUGAAACUCAAAGGAAUUGACGGGGGCCCGCACAAGCGGUGGAGCAUGUGGUUUAAUUUGAAGCAACGCGAAGAACCUUACCAGGUCUUGACAUCCUCUGACACUCCUAGAGAUAGGACGUUCCCCUUCGGGGGACAGAGUGACAGGUGGUGCAUGGUUGUCGUCAGCUCGUGUCGUGAGAUGUUGGGUUAAGUCCCGCAACGAGCGCAACCCUUGAUCUUAGUUGCCAGCAUUCAGUUGGGCACUCUAAGGUGACUGCCGGUGACAAACCGGAGGAAGGUGGGGAUGACGUCAAAUCAUCAUGCCCCUUAUGACCUGGGCUACACACGUGCUACAAUGGAUGGUACAAAGGGCUGCAAGACCGCGAGGUUUAGCCAAUCCCAUAAAACCAUUCUCAGUUCGGAUUGCAGGCUGCAACUCGCCUGCAUGAAGCCGGAAUCGCUAGUAAUCGCGGAUCAGCAUGCCGCGGUGAAUACGUUCCCGGGCCUUGUACACACCGCCCGUCACACCACGAGAGUUUGUAACACCCGAAGUCGGUGGGGUAACCGUAAGGAGCCAGCCGCCUAAGGUGGGACAGAUGAUUGGGGUGAAGUCGUAACAAGGUAGCCGU
Molecule: ribosomal RNA, 1504 nt
Filed under: uncultured bacterium
Lineage: Bacteria
Description: partial 16S ribosomal RNA
Rfam family: Bacterial small subunit ribosomal RNA
Source: RNAcentral